Molecule: ribosomal RNA, 427 nt
Filed under: Proteocephalus renaudi
Lineage: Eukaryota; Metazoa; Platyhelminthes; Cestoda; Proteocephalidea; Proteocephalidae
Description: partial 16S ribosomal RNA
Rfam family: Bacterial large subunit ribosomal RNA
Source: RNAcentral
UUCCAUAUAUAAUAUUUUAUGGUAGUACCUGCUCUAUGUAUUGUUUUAUAAAUGGCCGCAGUAUCUUGACUGUGCAAAGGUAGCAUAAUUAAUUGCCUUAUAAUUGAGGGCUUGUUUGAAUGGUUUGACGUGGUAGAUACAAAUAUUUAUUUUAUAGUUGAAAUUGGUGUAGAGGGCACAGAAUCCUCUAUGAUUAAUUAGACGGAAAGACCCCAGGAUCUUUAUAAUUUUGUCUGGGGCAGAUGGGAAUUUUUCAUUCCUAUUAUGACCCUAAUGGUUUAGUGAUUUAAGUUACCCUGGGGAUAACAGUGUAAUAGUUUAUUAGAGACCAUAUCGAAUAAACUGUUUGCUACCUCGAUGUUGACUUAGGUAUAUAUUUUAGGCGCAGUAGUCUAGAAUUUUGGUCUGUUCGACCUUUGAUGCCUCC